This 70-nucleotide transfer RNA is filed under the name Arnoglossus laterna (scaldfish). Its description in RNAcentral is "tRNA-Trp". It matches the Rfam family "tRNA". From Rfam's summary of the family: Transfer RNA (tRNA) molecules are approximately 80 nucleotides in length. Their secondary structure includes four short double-helical elements and three loops (D, anti-codon, and T loops). Further hydrogen bonds mediate the characteristic L-shaped molecular structure. tRNAs have two regions of fundamental functional importance: the anti-codon, which is responsible for specific mRNA codon recognition, and the 3' end, to which the tRNAs corresponding amino acid is attached (by aminoacyl-tRNA synthetases). tRNAs cope with the degeneracy of the genetic code in two manners: having more than one tRNA (with a specific anti-codon) for a particular amino acid; and 'wobble' base-pairing, i.e. permitting non-standard base-pairing at the 3rd anti-codon position. The record is from RNAcentral. Lineage: Eukaryota; Metazoa; Chordata; Actinopteri; Pleuronectiformes; Bothidae.
AGGGGCUUAGGCUUGAUCAAACCGGGGGCCUUCAAAGCCCCUAUCGAGGGUGAAAUUCCCCCAGCCCCUG